RNAcentral lists this ribosomal RNA (476 nucleotides) under uncultured bacterium. Its description in RNAcentral is "bacterial SSU rRNA". It matches the Rfam family "Bacterial small subunit ribosomal RNA", at positions 28 to 526 of the family's 1533-position model. The record is from RNAcentral.
GAUGAACGCUGGCGGCGUGCCUAACACAUGCAAGUCGAACGGAGCCCUUUCGGGGGCUGAGUGGCGCACGGGUGAGGAACACGUAGCUGACCUGCCUUCCAGCGGGGGGAUAACGUCCCGAAAGGGAUGCUAAGACCGCAUAAGCUCACGGGCUCUAGAGGCCUGAGAGAAAAAGCUUCGGCUACUGGAAGAGGGGGCUGCGGCCCAUCAGGUAGUUGGCGGGGUAACGGCCCACCAAGCCGACGACGGGUCGGGGAUCUGAGAGGAUGAUCCCCCACACUGGGACUGAGACACGGCCCAGACUCCUACGGGAGGCAGCAGUGAGGGAUAUUGCACAAUGGGCGAAAGCCUGAUGCAGCGACGCCGCGUGGGUGAUGAAGGUCUUCGGAUCGUAAAGCCCUUUUCUGCAUGACGAGAACGGACGGUAGUGCAGGAAUAAGUCUCGGCUAACUACGUGCCAGCCGCCGCAGUAAGAC